RNAcentral lists this long non-coding RNA (4969 nucleotides) under Homo sapiens (human). Its description in RNAcentral is "non-protein coding lnc-MED10-11:4". Lineage: Eukaryota; Metazoa; Chordata; Mammalia; Primates; Hominidae. The record is from RNAcentral.
AGAAAUAUUAAAAAUGAUAUAUAAAUAAAUAGCAAUUGAAGGUCAUUCAGCUCUCCAGGCAUUCUGCUCAGUAAACAGCCUCUGUGUACCUUCUGAAACAUUGCAUUGCAAUGUUGAAUGAAGGGCUCAGAUAAUCUCAACAUUUGUCUCCAAAAUAUUCCUUUUUAAAUCCGUCAUGCAUGGAUUUACGGAAUGAAUCACUCACAGCCUUUGCUGGUCCUGAAGGUCUGGAGCCCUCACCAUGUCUUGGGGAGAAUGGAGUUUCACCUCCCAAAUGCCUGCUGUCAUGGGGGAGCUGCUCCUCAUUUAGUGGAAAACAGGUCUUUCCCACCUCCAGGGCUGCCUUUGCCUUCACCAUUCCCUUAUUCUUUUACUUCUUGGCUUGGUCAUUGUGUAAGCUUUGAUUAUAUCAUUGUUCAGUGUUUAAAUUUAAUAGGAAAGGUUUCUAAUAUCUUUAGCCUGGUCUCAGACAUAGCCUCAACUUUCUGAUUCUCUGGUGGAACUGCAGUUUUAUGAGCCAGGUACUGCCACUGUCUCUCAUUCACAACGGAAGGCUUGAGGCUGAGUGGAACGAAUAUGGUCAUACCACUUAAGAAGUGGAGCCAGGAAGCAAGCCCCAUCAGCAGGACCCAGGAGUCAAUAUGUUCUGCAUUGCUGAAGUUGAGAGCAAUAUUGUGCCCAUCUCUGAAACAGAGAUAAAAUAAUGCUACAGUUGGAUCAGAAAAGAAAAAUGAAAAAAAUAAAAGCUUUGAGGAAGAACUUUGAUGGAAGAAACUAUUUCCAUGACCCUUUUCCUCUCUGUCUACAAUGGCAUCACCUUCUUGGUGAAGGGACAUUGAGAUGCUACGGCUGAGAAUGCAGAGUGAAGAGCCCUUGGAGGCCCUACCAGCUGCUACCAGCCUCCUGUCUUCCCUGCCUGGGUCCAUGGCUGGCCUGCCCUGGCAUCCAUGUGGCUUCUGGACUGAGUUCCAGCUGGUGAGAUGCGAGGGGAAGCUGCACCUGCUGCACCCAGACCUGGCUCAUACAACCUUGCACAGGCGACCUCGGGGGGUUUUCCUUCUGUGGACGGACAGCCCAACAAGCUUGGAGCCCAUAAGCUGAGGGUGAAGAGUCUCUGAAUUGCUGCUUGGAGAACAGCCUGCUGCCAGCUAGGAUUGCCUGGUUUGGAUUUUAUCUGAGAGAGAAAUAAACUGCUUUUAUUGUGUUGGACCCAUUGGGCAUUUUGAGCUGAUCAACUAAUAUUACUAACUCCUUUAGUUAUAUGUCCUUCCUUUUAAAAGGUCUAUGAAAGAUGAUUUAAAAAUACAUUCAUGUUGCAUGUUAAAGUAUAUUUCAAAUAAUUGAGAAACUCUAAGUAGGAUAAGAAUAAAGUUAGGAAAUGAGGAUGGAGCCAGGAAUGAAGCUGUUCUGAAAUGGGGGGAACAUGAAGCCCCAUUCUCUGGCUUAGGGGACAAGUUUGAAUCCAAACUAGAAACGGAGGACAGGAAAAGGGAAAUAGAAUCAAUGGCAGAAGAAAAACACAAGUAGAAAUAAUAUCAGUGAUGGCAUUGCAUCUGUCAUCUGGACUGAAGCAUUUAUUUACUGUGAGAAACCCUUUAGGAAUCUAUUUUCAUCCUUUUAUGUAGAUAAAGACAUCGAUAUAGUUGACAUCAAUACAGAUCAAACAUAGACAGUGAUCUAGUUAUAGACACAGACCUAGACUUAGACAUGGGUUUAGAUACAGCUUAGAAAUGCCUUUAUUUCCCACUCUCCUCUCAGCCUCCACCGGUGUGUGAAAUUGUCCAAUCAGAGUCUCCUUUUGAGUCAUCCAUGGACGACUACUCAUUAGCUAACUCAUCUGGCCUCUUUCUUCCUCUAACCUUUUCUUCCCUUUUCUCUGUGCCUCUUCGCCUGCCCCAACUUAGUCCUGAGCAUCUGUGACCUCCUGCUCACUGUGCAUGCCUGCAGCUCUGACUCCUGUCCCGCAAAGUUUCUUGUUCUUCAAAUCUUAUUCUGGGUCACUCCUGUUUUUCUCAAGGAUGCCUGUGGCUUUAUCUCCCUUUCCUUAAUGAUGCACCUCAAACCUCCGUCUCCCCCUGAAAUGCCUCCUCAUUUACCUAACAGGCUGGUGACUGUCCCCUCUGGUGCCUGACCUAGGAAACUGACACAUCUCACAUUCGGAACAAAGGCUGUGCCCUCCUCGACAGUCCUCUACCUGGGGUCUCACUGCAUUGCCAUUGUUUCAGGGCUGCUUCCCAAGCCAGAGAAGUAGCAGCCAUCCUGGAUCGAUUCCUUCCUCUCCCCACAGAUUCCAUCAGUCCACAGUGCUGCUGACUUUGCUUUCUGCACGUUUCUUAGAUUUCCCACUUCUCGCCAUCACCACCCUGGGAGCCACUUGCAAAGUACUGGCCUGGUCACCAUCGCCUCUCGCCAGCUUACAGCAGGUGUCCCCUAUCCAGCCCACCUUCCUCCAGUCUUGCUCCAGUUCAGUAACUUAUUCUAGCAUCUUUAGUAAGUCAUGUGCUGGGGCUGACGUGCCUCUACAUGGCUCCUCCUUCUUGUCUUCCUCUCCUUUGCUAGCAUUACUGACAUAGCCUGCAUGUCCCUUUGUGCCAGGAACCGUUUAAGGUGAUUUUCUGCUAUUAUCCCAUUUAAUCCUCAAUAUAGCUCUCUGAAGAAGGUAGCCUAGUCACCCUCCUAGGAUGGCGAGGCAACCAAGACUGUGUAGUGCCUUCCCCUUGCACGCAUAAGGUCACCUGCACAUUGUUCUCUGCUUGUGGCAUUAUUUCCUCCAGCUUCACAGGGAGAAUCUCAACCCAUCUUUCAUCCCUAAUUAUGGACACCAUCUGCUCAACAAAGGCAUAUGGUGCUCCUCCAUCUGCCCAGAGAGUUGCUGAGCCUCUGUACAUCAACAGCCUUUAGCUGCCUCUACGCCGUGAUUGGGAGGAAGCUCCCUGAGGACAGGGCCAUAUCUGACAUUUCCUCAGUUACAUUUUCCACACUGAGCAUAAUAUGGUCACAUAGGGGGCACUUAUUAAAUACUUCCCUAAAACAUGAGUAAACAUGACAUCAAAAAGGUAUCACUCACUGCAAGGAAAAUAUAGCUUAUGACAUUUUACAAAUGUAUGAAAAUUUAAAUGUAUUUUUUGUUCAUGAAUAGUCACUGUGGUGCACGUAAUAUAUUUAACCAGGAGUAUGUGGCUUAGUGAGUUAAUGCAAGUGAGAAAUAUGUACCCACAUGAAACACCUCAUAUAUGAAGUUUUUUUUUUUUUUGACAGAGUUUUGCUCGGUCACUCACGGCAACCUCCGCCUCCUGGGUUCAAGCAGUUCUCCUGCCUCAGUCUCCCGAGUAGCUGGGACUCUACAGGCAUCCCCCAUCAGGUAUGGCUAGUUUUUUCUUUUUUUGUAUUUUUAGUAGAGAUAGGGCUCUGUCAUGUUGACCAAGCUGUUCUUGAACUCUUGAUUUCAGUUGAUCUGUCUGCCUUAGCCUCCCAAAGUGCUGGGAUUAUGAGUGUAAGCCACCAUGCUCAGCCCUCAUAUAUGAAGCUUUGAGUGCUAUGUAUAGGGAUUCAGACUUUAUAGGCUGCCACUUUCAUGAUAGAUUUACAUUGCACCCUACUGUUAAUCUCUACAUUUUUAAUUUUAAAUUCUUAAGGAUCAUCUUGUCUUAUCUUCAUUCUAGUUAGUUUUUUUUUAAAAUAAAAACUAACAAAUAAAAAACAAACAAAUAAAAAACAGGCUAGACAAGUUAAAUGAUCUGCUUUAGCCCGAAUACUGGCAUAGAAGUAACCAGAAAUGCUCUUACUCCUAAUACAUACAUACAUAUGUCCAUAUACAUAUGUUUCUUAUUAUCCAUAUAAGUGCAUUUUGAUUUUGGACAUAAAACAAAGGACUACAUGAACGAAUAUAUUUGUAUUAUUAUAUAAGCAAUAUGAGCUUACUGAAGAAUAUCUAAAAAUAUUGAAACAGUUUAACAAAAUAAUAUUCAUAAUUCUAUUACCUAGCAGUAACUCCUGUAAAUAUUUUAGGAUAUUUCAUGCUUGUUCUUUUAUUAUCAAUAUAUUUUCCUAUUUGAUAUUUUUGCAACUUGAGUGCAAAAUUUUCACUUAAUAUUAUAAUUAUUAUUUCCCAGUUUAUUAACUAUUAUUUUAAACAUACUUUUAUGUUUGUGUACUCUUCUAUCACAUGUGGUUAUUUUCAUUAACAAACCAUCUAUAAUUUUAGAUGUCUAUCAGCACUAACAUGGGUUAUUGUUGCUGUUAUAUUUAAUAUAAUUUCCUCAGGAUCAAUUUAUAUAUUGUAAGCACUAUGUCAAAUUCCCAAAUAUCUUGAAUUUCUUUGUGUGAGUUGAUUUUUCAAAUGAUUGUACCGGUUUACAAAAGCAGAGUUUAAGAGGAUUCAUCCCAUAUCAUAAAUAAAUAGUGGUUUCAUGAUAUGUUCUAUAAAUGUAUUUUGGGAAAGUUUAAAGUCGUUUAACUAUGGUCAUAUCCUACAUCCUAGAUGUUGUUCUGUUGGGUUUCAUUUAACCAGUCUCAACAAAUGAUACAGAAUAUUUCCUAAAGAACUUAUAAUCCAAUAAAUGACUUUUUGAUGCCUCAUGGAGAAAAUUGGCUUUGAGACCACACUUCUUCCCACUUCUUCAAUAUAAAAGAAAAACAAGUUCUUAUUAACACAAUUUUGGACACUCAAGCACAUUCUAUGGUUCUGUAUUGGUGAUGAAAACUGCCUAUGAGCGACUACCAACCUCUUUUAUGCUGCCUAUUUUUGGAGAUGUCCAAAUUUAAGAUUAAGGAUUCUGGAAAUUUGUUUCACAUAUUCUCUUUCUCUUUCUCUCAAGGUUAGGGUACCCAGUGUCUUCCAAACUAAAGUAUUGUAAUAUUACCCUGCCACCUAGGGGUAUUGCCAAAGAAAUUUAUGCAUGUAUAUAGACAUUUAGUGUAUUGGUCAAAAUGUGACAAUUAUGUUAUUAAAGUAUGUAAUUAACAGUCA